GGUGAUAUUGAUUCUCACUAAACAUUGCAAUGCUGCAAGGCCCAGAUGCAGAAACCCAAGUAUGAUGACCAUUUUCAUAUAUAGAUCUAGGAAGUUCAAAAUUGCUAUUAACUUGAUGGACAGAACAGAUUCCUUGGGAGUUCAUCUGCAUCUCAGGCUUCAUUUUCUUAACUUCAGGCAAAUUUAAACUACUAAAUGGAGGGUAUGAGAACUGUUCAUCAAGUUGUACACUUAAACAUGUAUUACUACUUAAAUUGCUAAAAACAGCACUGCCCUGCCCGAUGUUAUCAACUGGUCUCGGAUUUCCAAUUUCAGUAUGUUUGCCAGUAUCAUAGUAAACAGAAUAGCCUGGAAGGGAUGCAUCAGUUGAGCAUUCUUUAUCUCUUUGAGGCAAAAAGUUCUGCUCAUUGGAUAAUAUCAGAUGCUGAUUGCCAUUGUUUGGAAGCCAUGAUAGUGGUUGGGCCUCUUGCAUGCCAUUUAUCAUCAAAGGUAAAUCCAUUCCAUUCUGAAACUGGCUACUGCAUUCUAGUCGCACAAGUUGGCAACUCCCAAAAUUUUCCUUUUGCAGACGGAUUUGGUUAAUAGACUCUUUUAGCGAUUCUUCCAUCUGACUAAGAUGUUCUAUGCUAUCAACCUUAUCAGGGUUACUCCAAUAGCUC
Molecule: unclassified non-coding RNA, 659 nt
Filed under: Hevea brasiliensis (rubber tree)
Lineage: Eukaryota; Viridiplantae; Streptophyta; Magnoliopsida; Malpighiales; Euphorbiaceae
Source: RNAcentral